RNAcentral lists this ribosomal RNA (488 nucleotides) under Daphnia longicephala. RNAcentral describes it as "partial 16S ribosomal RNA". It matches the Rfam family "Bacterial large subunit ribosomal RNA", at positions 1832 to 2588 of the family's 2925-position model. Lineage: Eukaryota; Metazoa; Arthropoda; Branchiopoda; Diplostraca; Daphniidae. The record is from RNAcentral.
CUCCUCUUGAAAUAUAGGAGGUACCGUCUGCUCAAUGCAAUUUGUAAAUAGCCGCAGUAUUCUGACUGUGCUAAGGUAGCAUAAUCAUUAGUCUUUUAAUUGAAGGCUGGUAUGAAUGACGAGACGAGAAAAUAGCUGUCUCUACAAUAAAUUUUGAAUUUUAUUUUUAAGUGAAAAAGCUUAAAUAAUUUUGAAGGACGAUCAGACCCUUUGGAGCUUUAUUUAUUUUAAAGUUUAAAUUGUUUUAGAUUAUUGAGUGAAAAAUAAAUUUUGUUGGGGCGACAGGGAGUGAAAAAUAACACUCUUUUUUUAAAACAAUUUUAAUUGAAAAAUUGAUCCUUAAAGAGAGAUUAAAAGACUAAGUUACCCUAGGGAUAACAGCGUAAUCUUUUUGGAGAGUUCAAAUCGAUAAAAAGGUUUGCGACCUCGAUGUUGGAUUAAGAAAUUAGCAAGGUGCAGAAGUUUUGCUGGAGAGUCUGUUCGACUCU